This 253-nucleotide ribosomal RNA is filed under the name uncultured bacterium. Its description in RNAcentral is "partial 16S ribosomal RNA". It matches the Rfam family "Bacterial small subunit ribosomal RNA", at positions 524 to 776 of the family's 1533-position model. The record is from RNAcentral.
UACAGAGGGGGCAAGCGUUGUUCGGAAUUACUGGGCGUAAAGGGCGCGUAGGCGGCCUUCUAAGUCGAACGUGAAAUCCCCGGGCUCAACCCGGGAACUGCGUCCGAUACUGGAAGGCUUGAAUCCGGGAGAGGGAUGCGGAAUUCCAGGUGUAGCGGUGAAAUGCGUAGAUAUCAGGAGGAACACCGAUGGCGAAGGCGGCGUUCUGGACUGCAACUGACACUGAGGAACGAAAGCCAGGGGAGCAAACGGG